RNAcentral lists this long non-coding RNA (433 nucleotides) under Chinchilla lanigera (long-tailed chinchilla). Its description in RNAcentral is "lncRNA (ENSCLAG00000025318.1)". Lineage: Eukaryota; Metazoa; Chordata; Mammalia; Rodentia; Chinchillidae. The record is from RNAcentral.
AACUCCCUGUAUCUGACCCCUUACCCAGAGCCUGCCCUCACAGUGCUCUCAGCGGCCAGGAUGAGGGUCUUUCUGUCUCUUGCAGGCAGCCCAGGGUCAGCCUUGGCCACAGUACAUCCUCAGUAAACACUGGUCAGAUGAAUGAAUACACAAAUGAAGAAACCAAAACUCGCUUCAGCAGCACAGAGGCAGCCCAACCUCAGGGACCCCAGGAGGACUGCCCUCCCCCUCCUGCCGGCCAGCCGCGCUCCCUGAGUCCCCAUAGACUUCCCCCGCACAACAGAUGUGGCAAGCAGGACUCUGAGUUUUGCCAGCACCUCUCCUGCCCGGGAGUAAAUAGCACAGUGAGCGCCUUGACGCCCGAGCUGCGUGACCUCAGGGCCCCUGGGGCUCAGCGCCCUUGUGCUGUGGACCCCACACCCUAAAAUCAAAC